UGGGGAAUAUUGGACAAUGGGCGCAAGCCUGAUCCAGCCAUGCCGCGUGAGUGAUGAAGGCCCUAGGGUUGUAAAGCUCUUUCACCGGAGAAGAUAAUGACGGUAUCCGGAGAAGAAGCCCCGGCUAACUUCGUGCCAGCAGCCGCGGUAAUACGAAGGGGGCUAGCGUUGUUCGGAAUUACUGGGCGUAAAGCGCACGUAGGCGGACAUUUAAGUCAGGGGUGAAAUCCCGGGGCUCAACCCCGGAACUGCCUUUGAUACUGGGUGUCUUGAGUGUGGAAGAGGUCAGUGGAAUUGCGAGUGUAGAGGUGAAAUUCGUAGAUAUUCGCAGGAACACCAGUGGCGAAGGCGGCUGACUGGUCCAUUACUGACGCUGAGGUGCGAA
This 385-nucleotide ribosomal RNA is filed under the name uncultured bacterium. RNAcentral describes it as "bacterial SSU rRNA". It matches the Rfam family "Bacterial small subunit ribosomal RNA", at positions 355 to 757 of the family's 1533-position model. The record is from RNAcentral.